AGAGCUCCUGUUGAUAAAUAUGCAGUAUCCCACAGUACUUCACAUUUGCAAGUCUUGGGGAAUCUUUUGAAGACUUGGAGUUGAAGGGUUGUAUAAUUUUUUUUUCCAUUGCUGAUUUAUUCUACAGAGACAGAUCAAGUUCAGUAUCUGGUACAUGUACAAUGGAGAAUUCAGAGAAAUCAUCAGGGGUUACUGGGGCUUGGAAUGAAAGCUUGGACCACUGAAUCAACAACUCUGCUUUAAGCAUGAAGUGGAGACAGGAUUACAUAGAUGUUGCUAUGUCAAAUGUUCUCGGAACUCACAGAUCCAACUAAGUCAUGAAGCCCUAGGAAACGGGGACUGUAGUCUCUCAGGAUGAUGUACUGGCCUAAGCAGAACAAGUUUCUUUUGACACUGCUUCUUGUUCACACCUUUCCCGUGCCCUGUUUUCUUUAGACGCUGACUCCUGCUGUCUACCAGAUCCUCGUGGUACAAUGACUGGUGUAGACUGGCUUGUUGAAGUCACUCUCUGGAUCUGAGCAACGCUGGCUGAGCCGUGAUGAAGUAUUCCUAUCCAUCCACUAUGCUUCACAGUGGGAAUCUCUCACUGUUCAUCACCGCUGCCCUAGCAGCCGCAGGGAUUCUUCACCCAUGGUUGCUUAGGUUUAUAAGCAAGGAAGCUGAAUGAAGUCCCUUUCCUCUCUGGAUGAGCCCCUGGGUUUCUGGAAGAGUCUUAAAAUCACCCCUAAAUGGCUUCCAAGCACUGAAGCCCGAGAUGUUAGCUGGCCUGUGUGAGGCCUUGAGACAGAAUGCCACAGCCACACCCCAAGGAUGCUGAAGGGGAUUUCCCUCCUCUGUGGUUUUUCUCCUUUCUUCCCGCAGCACUCCUCCUACGUGCUAACAUCUUCUAGUCAAACAACUCUCCUUUUCAAAGGGACCAGGCACAGUUUCUGCUUAUCCCUGAGUAGCAGUGUUCAGUUUCCUGCCAGCCUGUGGAGUUUUUCAAACAAGCCAAUCACCUCCUCCUGUGGGAACUGAGAAGCACCCCACCCUCUCGAUACUACAAAGCCCCUGCUUGUUCCCUAGUGCAACUCCCAUGUGGUCCUGUGGAGCAUAUGGUAUCUUCCUCUUCUGGGCAGUGAGCAUAUGUGACUAAUAAACUAUCUAUCU
RNAcentral lists this long non-coding RNA (1149 nucleotides) under Homo sapiens (human). RNAcentral describes it as "HSALNT0296309". The record is from RNAcentral. Lineage: Eukaryota; Metazoa; Chordata; Mammalia; Primates; Hominidae.